AUGCGGCGCUGGCGGGGCGCGGGGCUGGCGGCGCUGGCCGCGGUGCUGCUCGUGGCUGCAGGCAGAGCCCAGGUGCAGCAGGAGCCGUUGGCACAAACCCCCGAGGGCACGGAAAUCACCAUCAACCGGGCAGUGGCUGUGGGCAGAGUCCAGGUACUGCAGGACCCAUCGACAGAGACCAUCAAGGGCAUCGGUAUAUCUAUCAACUGCUCCCACCCCAAAAUCCAGUUCAAUGAGUACAUCUACUGGUACCGUCAGCUCCCUGGCCGAGAACCCGCACUCCUCAUGAGCGGUCAGAAAGGGUUCAGAGAGAUGCCGGACCCUCCUGGGUGGCUGUCAGUGUCGCCAGACCGUCGCUGGAGCACCCUCUGUCUCUCCGGGCCCCGUGUUGGGGACGCGGCGGUGUAUUACUGCGCCGUGGCAGACACGGCCAGAGGAGCCGGGGCUGCGGCCGGGCACGAACCGCCGCGGGCGGGGCCGGGGGCACAGCGCCGGCCGGGGCCAGCAGGGCUUUGUCAAAUGCUGUAAAUCCCACCUGAGCUCAGACUCACUGACACCCUCGUCUUUGGAGCUUUCAGGGGAUUUUCUUAGAAAUACACAACUCAGUUAAUUGUUCCUACAGCGGAGCAAAGUAGCGCCCCUUUGAAAACAGGGCGUUCCACUCCUACAUAAAGCACAGGCUUGUGACCGAAUGUCUGGGUGCCAAGUGACAUACACAGCACAGCACAGGUCUGGGCAUACUCCAGUCAGCUGCAAUGUGUGUCCCUGACUUCUCCUGAGAAAUCGUCUCCUGGAUACUCUGAUCCGUUCCGGGCAGGCACUGAGAUUCUCUGGUUCAUGAGGAUCUUUUGUUUGGAUAGGGGGAGAAUUCUGACCUUGCCCGCAGUGUGGAAAAGGGACAGACAGACAGACAGUGAAACCGGCCUUGUUGGGCCGAAAUCAGCAGCAGCGGAGCGAGAGCUGUGGACGGACAGGAAGAGAAGGGCUCCGGAGGCAGAACCUGCAUUUCUCUGCCUCUUCCCUGGACACAGCUGUAGGGGGCAGGUGCCGUCAGCACUCAGCUGCACCCACGCGCCUUCUGACCCUGGCAACCUGCUGCUCUGUGGAGUUCAGGGCCAGCGGAGAGGACGGUAUCCCUGGAAUAGGCAGCAAAUGAACUUCCCAUGAGGGUGUUACGAUCUGCUUAAAUAUUGCAGAAAGAGUUUUUGGAUUUGAAUAUUCCCUUGAGCAAAAUUAAAACUCAUACAAGUUAUCUGUUGA
This is a non-coding RNA of Pipra filicauda (Wire-tailed manakin), 1260 nucleotides long. Lineage: Eukaryota; Metazoa; Chordata; Aves; Passeriformes; Pipridae. The record is from the annotation of a RefSeq genome assembly.